This 439-nucleotide ribosomal RNA is filed under the name uncultured bacterium. RNAcentral describes it as "partial 16S ribosomal RNA". It matches the Rfam family "Bacterial small subunit ribosomal RNA", at positions 339 to 795 of the family's 1533-position model. The record is from RNAcentral.
CUACGGGUCGCACCAGUGAGGAAUAUUGCACAAUGGGGGGAACCCUGAUGCAGCAACGCCGCGUGGAGGAUGACGCAUUUCGGUGUGUAAACUCCUUUUAUAUGUCAAGAAAAUGACGGUAGCAUAUGAAUAAGCGCCGGCUAACUCCGUGCCAGCAGCCGCGGUAAUAGGGAGGGCGCAAGCGUUACUCGGAAUCACUGGGCGUAAAGGACGCGUAGGCGGGUUGAAAAGUCAGGUGUGAAAGCCUACAGCUUAACUGUAGAACUGCACUUGAAACUCUCAACCUAGAGUAUGGGAGGGGCAGAUGGAAUUAGUGGUGUAGGGGUAAAAUCCGUAGAUAUCACUAGGAAUACCUAAAGCGAAGGCGAUCUGCUGGAACAUUACUGACGCUAAGGCGUGAAAGCGUGGGGAGCAAACAGGAUUAGAUACCCCUGUAGUC